RNAcentral lists this non-coding RNA (99 nucleotides) under Desulfovibrio sp. RNAcentral describes it as "SAM-I sequence". It matches the Rfam family "SAM riboswitch aptamer (S box leader)". Rfam says of the family: The SAM riboswitch is found upstream of a number of genes which code for proteins involved in methionine or cysteine biosynthesis in Gram-positive bacteria. The SAM riboswitch acts at the level of transcription termination control. Lineage: Bacteria; Pseudomonadati; Thermodesulfobacteriota; Desulfovibrionia; Desulfovibrionales; Desulfovibrionaceae. The record is from RNAcentral.
AACUCAUGAAGAGGAUGCGAGGGAUCUGGCCUGUCGACCAUCCGGCAACCUGCUAUUUUAUAGCAAGGUGCCAAGCCUCCCCGUACGGGACCAUGAGCG